UCAUAUCAGAGCCAAACGACCGUCAUCUUGCCUCAGUCACCUCCUCCGCCUCGCAGGGAAAGCAUCAUGGCGAGCGCGUUACUCCGCUACUUUAUCGGCUUGCAUCCACGUGGUCCUCCCAAUGGUUGAAGGCAAUCGGUGGAAUGCACUGAAGACAAAGGGUAUCAAAUGAUCGAAGCAAGUUGGCAAAAUGGGCGACUACCCAAAGGAAGCAUAUCGUCAAAAUGGGCAGAAAGCAAAGGUUUCAUGGACGAGGGUGCUUGGCCUAUGCGAUGAAUCGAAGAGAUUAUCUGAAGGCCUGAAGCACAUCAGUAAAUUGACUUAAUGAAGAUGAGAUUUGCUGGGAAGAGUGUGCAGUCUGCUAGACUAAGCUGAAGGUUCAAGUAAAUUUUUGAAGCAUAUCGGCAGAAAUGGAUGACUCUUGAAUAAAGGAGUUGAUACUGGCAAAAGAAUACCUGGAGACUAAGAUUCUACUGGCAUUUAUUGGCAAGUUUCAAGAUGGUCUGUGACUGAAAGAUGGCUUUCUUCACUGUGGUGGUCCAAGAUUUUUUUUUCUCCACUAACCUGGAAGGAAUGGUGUGGAGGAAGGGACUCGUGUGCUUGGUGUAUGGCAGAUGGAAGUGAUUAAAGGACUGACUGCUAUAGGGUACUGAGUUGGAUAAAUGGCUUCUUCCAUGACCAGGAAAAAAUGCAAGUAUGUGGAGCAAACAGGAGGCCCUAUAGCUGGAGUUUCCCCAACCCCUCUCCUUAUCCCUCGGGGCAGUGCACCAAAUGAGGGAAUGCCAGGACGGAUACCCCUUUUUGGUACAUGCCACAUUUUGCAAUUUUUUGUUGCAGUGAACCUCCUGCAAUGGACGUGUCUGUGUGUAGACCUGUAAUAAAAGUAUCGUGUGGUUCUGCAUGAUAUUAUUCCAAGGUGUGCCUGCUGCUUUUUGUCAAUAAAACCUUGUGUGUUA
Penaeus chinensis is the source of this 956-nucleotide long non-coding RNA. RefSeq lists it as uncharacterized. The record is from RefSeq and is a predicted model, not a curated record. The transcript is spliced from 11 exons. NCBI's taxonomy places the organism in Eukaryota, Metazoa, Arthropoda, Malacostraca, Decapoda, Penaeidae.